AAUAAACGAAUUUUUGUGUUUUUAAUAGAAUUUUAGAUUCUUCGUCUUAUUUGAAAAUUUUUUAUGAUUAAUAUUUUUAUUGUUACUACAUGAUAAAACAUAAAUAGUACUUUACAUACGACUAAUUUUUUUAAUUUUUUAAUAAAUUUUUCAAAUAAGAUGAUGAUCAAACUCUCGACGUACAAAACC
Molecule: microRNA precursor, 189 nt
Filed under: Oryza brachyantha (malo sina)
Lineage: Eukaryota; Viridiplantae; Streptophyta; Magnoliopsida; Poales; Poaceae
Description: MIR812 microRNA precursor family
Rfam family: MIR812 microRNA precursor family
Source: Rfam by way of RNAcentral